CAGUCGCCGCGGGAAUACGAAGGGUGCAAGCGUUACUCGGAAUUACUGGGCGUAAAGCGUGCGUAGGUGGUGGUUUAAGUCCGUUGUGAAAGCCCUGGGCUCAACCUGGGAAUUGCAGUGGAUACUGGGUCACUAGAGUGUGGUAGAGGAUAGUGGAAUUUCCGGUGUAGCAGUGAAAUGCGUAGAGAUCGGAAGGAACAUCUGUGGCGAAGGCGACUAUCUGGGCCAACACUGACACUGAGGCACGAAAGCGUGGGGAGCAAACAGGAUUAGAUACCCGUGUAGUCCCUGUCUCUUAUAC
RNAcentral lists this ribosomal RNA (301 nucleotides) under uncultured bacterium. Its description in RNAcentral is "partial 16S ribosomal RNA". It matches the Rfam family "Bacterial small subunit ribosomal RNA", at positions 509 to 807 of the family's 1533-position model. The record is from RNAcentral.